Molecule: ribosomal RNA, 492 nt
Filed under: uncultured bacterium
Lineage: Bacteria
Description: partial 16S ribosomal RNA
Rfam family: Bacterial small subunit ribosomal RNA
Source: RNAcentral
GGUGAACGCUGGCGGUAUGCCUAACACAUGCAAGUCGAACGCCAGCACAGUAAGCUCUUUCUCUUACGGUUGGCUACUGACGGAUGGGUGACGCAUACAUCACCUUCUACUUUUUCGUGGGUGAUUACUUAGGAAGACUUACGCUAAUACCGCAUACGAGCUACGGGUUAACGCAGGGGUUCUUCGGACCUUUCGCGCUCGAAUGAGCCGAUGUCGGAUUAGCUAGUUGGCGGGGUAAGGGCCCACCAAGGCGAGGAUCCGUAGCUGGUCUGAGAGGAUGGUCGGCAAAACUGGAACUGAGAAACGGUCCAGACUCCUACGGGAGGAAGCAGAGGGGAAUAUUGGAAAAGGGGCGAAAGCCUGAUCCAGCAAGACCGCGGGGGGGAGGAAGGCCUUGGGGUGGUAAAGCCAUUUUGUUGGGAAAGGAAAGCAGCAGGGUAAAAACCCGAUGUUCUGACGGUACCCAAAGAAUAAGCACCGGCUAACUUCGUG